GGACCCGCACAAGCAGUGGAGGAUGGGGUUUAAUAUGAAGCUACGCGUAGAACCUUACCGAGGCUUGACAUCCUGGGAAUCCGAUCGAAAGAUUGGAGUGCCUUCGGGAGCCUAGUGACAGGUGCUGCAUGGCCGUCGUCAGCUCGUGUCGUGAGAUGUUGGGUUAAGUCCCGCAACGAGCGCAACCCUUGUCGUCUGUUGUAUUUUCAGGCGAGACUGCCCGGGCCAACCGGGAGGAAGGUGAGGAUGACGUCUGGUCGGCAUGGCCCUUACGCCUCGGGCUACACCCGUCCUACAAUGACUACUACAACGCGUUGCCAAGCCGUAAGGUGGAGCUAAUCGCAUCAAAAGUAGUCCCAGUUCGGAUUGAGGGCUGAAACUCGCCCUCAUGAAGUCGGAAUUGCUAGUAAUGGCAGGUCAGCAAUACUGCCGUGAAUACGUUCCCGGGUCUU
Molecule: ribosomal RNA, 452 nt
Filed under: uncultured bacterium
Lineage: Bacteria
Description: bacterial SSU rRNA
Rfam family: Bacterial small subunit ribosomal RNA
Source: RNAcentral